RNAcentral lists this ribosomal RNA (462 nucleotides) under uncultured bacterium. Its description in RNAcentral is "bacterial SSU rRNA". It matches the Rfam family "Bacterial small subunit ribosomal RNA", at positions 343 to 797 of the family's 1533-position model. The record is from RNAcentral.
UGGAGGCAGCAGUGAGGAAUUUUGGACAAUGGGCGCAAGCCUGAUCCAGCCAUUCCGCGUGCAGGAUGAAGGCCUUCGGGUUGUAAACUGCUUUUGUACGGAACGAAAAGGCUUACUUUAAUACGGAGAGCUCAUGACGGUACCGUAAGAAUAAGCACCGGCUAACUACGUGCCAGCAGCCGCGGUAAUACGUAGGGUGCGAGCGUUAAUCGGAAUUACUGGGCGUAAAGCGUGCGCAGGCGGUGAUGUAAGACAGAUGUGAAAUCCCCGGGCUCAACCUGGGAACUGCAUUUGUGACUGCAUCGCUGGAGUGCGGCAGAGGGGGAUGGAAUUCCGCGUGUAGCAGUGAAAUGCGUAGAUAUGCGGAGGAACACCGAUGGCGAAGGCAAUCCCCUGGGCCUGCACUGACGCUCAUGCACGAAAGCGUGGGGAGCAAACAGGAUUAGAAACCCCUGUAGUCCU